GGCCUGGAUAGCUCAGUUGGUUAGAGCAUGGUGCUGAUAAUGCCAAGGUUGCAGGUUCAAUCCCUGUAUGGGCCA
This is a non-coding RNA of Podarcis lilfordi (Lilford's wall lizard), 75 nucleotides long. NCBI's taxonomy places the organism in Eukaryota, Metazoa, Chordata, Lepidosauria, Squamata, Lacertidae. The record is from the annotation of a GenBank genome assembly.